RNAcentral lists this ribosomal RNA (460 nucleotides) under uncultured bacterium. RNAcentral describes it as "partial 16S ribosomal RNA". It matches the Rfam family "Bacterial small subunit ribosomal RNA", at positions 338 to 795 of the family's 1533-position model. The record is from RNAcentral.
CCUACGGGGAGCAGCAGUGAGGAAUAUUGGUCAAUGGCCGGAAGGCUGAACCAGCCAUGCAGCGUGAAGGUCAGUGCCCUAUGGGCGUUAAACUUCUUUUGUGCGGGAGCAAUAAUGGUCACGUGUGGCCAGACGAGAGUACCGUACGAAUAAGCAUCGGCUAACUCCGUGCCAGCAGCCGCGGUAAUACUGGGGAUGCAAGCGUUAUCCGGAUUUAUUGGGGUUAAAGGGUGCGUAGGCUGUGAGGUAAGUCAGCGGUGAAAUGCCCCCGCUCAACGGGGUGAAGUGCCAUUGAUACUGCCUUGCUGGAAUGCGGAUGCCGUGGGAGGAAUGUGUGGUGUAGCGGUGAAAUGCAUAGAUAUCACACAGAACACCGAUUGCGAAGGCAUCUCACGAAUCCGCGAUUGACGCUGAUGCACGAAAGCGUGGGUAUCAAACAGGAUUAGAUACCCGUGUAGUC